UGCCAGCAGCCGCGGUAACACGUAGGGCGCAAGCGUUGUCCGGAAUUAUUGGGCGUAAAGAGCUCGUAGGUGGUUUGCUACGUCCGCUGUGAAAACUCAGGGCUUAACCCUGAGCUGGCAGUGGAUACGGGCAGACUAGAGGUAGGUAGGGGAGAAUGGAAUUCCUGGUGUAGCGGUGAAAUGCGCAGAUAUCAGGAGGAACACCGGUGGCGAAGGCGGUUCUCUGGGCCUUACCUGACACUGAGGAGCGAAAGCGUGGGGAGCGAACAGGAUUAGAUACCCUGGUAGUCCACGCCGUAAACGUUGGGCGCUAGGUGUGGGGUCCUUCCACGGAUUCCGUGCCGCAGCUAACGCAUUAAGCGCCCCGCCUGGGGAGUACGGCCGCAAGGCUAAACUCAAAGAAUA
RNAcentral lists this ribosomal RNA (405 nucleotides) under uncultured bacterium. RNAcentral describes it as "bacterial SSU rRNA". It matches the Rfam family "Bacterial small subunit ribosomal RNA", at positions 506 to 910 of the family's 1533-position model. The record is from RNAcentral.